Coturnix japonica (Japanese quail) is the source of this 1788-nucleotide long non-coding RNA. NCBI's taxonomy places the organism in Eukaryota, Metazoa, Chordata, Aves, Galliformes, Phasianidae. The record is from Ensembl.
CCGUUCCUACUCGGUCCCUGUUGGGGGUCCAGGAGCUCUAUGGGGUUCUAUGGGUCUCUAUGGGGCUCUAUGGGGUUCUAUAGGUUUCUAUGGGUCUCUAUGGGUCUCUAGCGUCCAUACUGGUCUCUAUAGUGGUUCUAUGGGUCUCUAUGGGUCUCUAUGGGUCUCUAUGGGGUUCUAUGGUUCUAUGGGUUUCUAUGGGGUGAUUAUGGGGUUCUAAGGGUCUCUAUGGGGUUCUAAUGGGUCCCUCUGGGUCUCUGUGGGUCUCUAUGGGGCCAACGUGGGACCCGUCUGCUUACCCGGCCCCACAUUCCAUUUCCCUGCCGGGACCCAAUGCGUGGCUACGGGGUGGGGGGACAUCGGGGAAGGAGGAGGUGUGGGUCCCGCUGAUGGGGCAGGCUCAGUGCCGCCGACUCUAUGGGACCCAAAUGGGGACCCAGCUACCGCCAAGGAAGGUCCAGGAUGACAUGAUCUGUGCCGGGUACCCACAGGGCAUCAGGGACACAUGUAAGGUCAGCUAUGGGGUAUAUGGGGUGUCUAUGGGGUGUCUAUGGGGUUAUAGGGUCUCUAUGGGGGUUAUGGGGUCACUAUUGGGGUUAUGGGGUCUAUGGGGUCUCUAUGGGGUUAUGGGGACCCUAUGGGGUCUAUGGGGUCUCUAUGGGGUCUCUAUGGGGUUAUGGGGUCUCUAUGGGGUUAUGGGGUCUCUAUGGGGUCUCUAUGGGGUUAUGGGGUCUCUAUGGGGUUAUGGGGUCUCUAUGGGGUCUCUAUGGGUCCCUAUAGGGGUAUGAUCUGUGCCGGGUACCCACAGGGCAUCAGAGACACAUGUAAGGUCAGCAACUUAUGGGGUGUCUAUGGGGUGUCUAUGGGGUCUCUAUGGGGUCUCUUUGGGAUCUCUAUGGGCCUUAUAGAGUCUCUAUGGGGUAUAUGGGGUCCCUAUGGGGGUUUUGGGAUCCCUAUUGGGGUUAUGGGGUCCCUAUAGGGUAUAUGGGGUCCCUAUGGGGUUAUGGGGUCCCUAUUGGGGUUAUGGGGUCCCUAUUGGUGUUAUAGGGUCCCUAUGGGGUUAUAGUGUUCCUAUUGGGGUUAUGGGGUCCCUAUGGGGUUUAUCGGGUCCCUAUGUGAGAUAUAUGGACUCUAUGGGGCUUAUAGGGUCUCUAUAGGGUAUAUGGGAUCCCUAUGGGGGUUAUGGUGUCCCUAUUGGGGUUAUGGGGUCUCUAUGGGGCUUAUAGGGUCUCUAUAUGACAUAUAGGGUCUCUAUUGUGUCCCCCAUAGGGUGACUCAGGGGGUCCCCUUGUUUGCCUAUCCGGUUCCCGUUGGGUUCUGGGGUCCCUAUUGGUGUUAUGGGGUCCCUAUGGGGUUAUGGGGUCCCUAUGGGGUCUCUAUGGGGUUAUGGGGUCCCUAUGGGGUUUAUGGGGUCCCUAUGGGGUUAUAGGGUCCCUAUUGGUGUUAUGGGGUCUCUAUGGGGUUUUGGGGUCCCUAUUAGGGUUAUAGUGUUCCUAUUGGGGUUAUGGGGUCUCUAUGGGGUUAUGGGGUCUCUAUGGUGGAUAUGGGGUCCCUAUGGGGUCUCUAUGGGGUUAUGGGGUCUCUAUGGGUCUUAUAGGGUCUCUAUGGGGGUUAUGGGGUCUCUAUGGGGUCUCUAUGGGGUUAUGGGGUCUCUAUGGGGUUAUGGGGUCUCUAUGGGUGUUAUGGGGUCUCUAUGGGGUUAUGGGGUGUCUAUGGGGUCCCUAUUGGGGUUAUAGGGUCUCUAUAGUGUAUAUGGGGUCCCUAUGGGGCUUAUAGAGUCUCUAUGGG